Molecule: ribosomal RNA, 726 nt
Filed under: Sarcocystis cf. cruzi
Lineage: Eukaryota; Apicomplexa; Conoidasida; Eucoccidiorida; Sarcocystidae
Description: SSU rRNA
Rfam family: Eukaryotic small subunit ribosomal RNA
Source: RNAcentral
AGUGUUUUAUUAGAUACAGAACCAAUACACCAUCUGUUUAUCAGGUGGUGUAAAAAAAGGUGAUUCAUAGUAACCGAACGGAUCGCAUUAUGGUCAUUUUAUAUGGCUGGCGAUAGAUCAUUCAAGUUUCUGACCUAUCAGCUUUCGACGGUAGUGUAUUGGACUACCGUGGCAGUGACGGGUAACGGGGAAUUAGGGUUCGAUUCCGGAGAGGGAGCCUGAGAAACGGCUACCACAUCUAAGGAAGGCAGCAGGCGCGCAAAUUACCCAAUCCUGACUCAGGGAGGUAGUGACAAGAAAUAACAACACUGGAAAUUUUAUUUCUAGUGAUUGGAAUGAUGGGAAUUUAAACCCCUUUCAGAGUAACAAUUGGAGGGCAAGUCUGGUGCCAGCAGCCGCGGUAAUUCCAGCUCCAAUAGCGUAUAUUAAAGUUGUUGCAGUUAAAAAGCUCGUAGUUGGAUGUCUGCUGGAAGCAAUCAGUCCGCCCUAUUUGUAGGGUGUGCACUUGAUGAAUUCUGGCAUCUAUGUCCCAAUAAUGUGGUGGUGUAUACCCUGUGUAUUACCCAUCUAUAUUGGGAUAAUACCGUUACUUUGAGAAAAUUAGAGUGUUUGAAGCAGGCUAAUUGCCUUGAAUACUGCAGCAUGGAAUAACAAUAUAGGAUUUCGGUUCUAUUUUGUUGGUUUCUAGGACUGAAAUAAUGAUUAAUAGGGACAGUUGGGGGCAUU